Molecule: ribosomal RNA, 457 nt
Filed under: uncultured bacterium
Lineage: Bacteria
Description: bacterial SSU rRNA
Rfam family: Bacterial small subunit ribosomal RNA
Source: RNAcentral
UACGGGAGGCAGCAGUGGGGAAUAUUGCACAAUGGGCGAAAGCCUGAUGCAGCUAUGCCGCGUGUAUGAAGAAGGCCUUAGGGUUGUAAAGUACUUUCAUCGGGGAGGAAAAAACAAAACUAAUAAUUUUAUUUCUUGACGUUACCCGAAAAAGAAGCACCGGCUAACUCCGUGCCAGCAGCCGCGGUAAUACGGAGGGUGCUAGCGUUAAUCAGAAUUACUGGGCGUAAAGAGCACGUAGGUGGUUUUUUUAAGUCAGAUGUGAAAUCCCUGGGCUUAACCUAGGAACUGCAUUUUGAAACUGAAAUACUAGAGUAUCGUAGAGGGAGGUAGAAUUCUAGGUGUAACGGUGAAAUGCGUAGAUAUCUGGAGGAAUACCUGUGGCGAAAGCGGCCUCCUAAACGAAUACUGACACUGAGGGUGCGAAAGCGUGGGGAGCAAACAGGGAUUAGAUACC